Molecule: long non-coding RNA, 782 nt
Organism: Dendroctonus ponderosae (mountain pine beetle)
Lineage: Eukaryota; Metazoa; Arthropoda; Insecta; Coleoptera; Curculionidae
Exons: 2
Source: RefSeq, a predicted model, not a curated record
GCUAAUUUGUUUAUUGUAGAAAGUGAGUACACAUUUUGUGCUACUUUCUUGUAUAUUCCGGAUUUCUCCUACUGUUGUAAUUUUUUAGGCAAAGGUGCAGGGCACAUUAAUUUUGUCGAAAAAAUUAAUUCAGAAAUCGAAUCCGUUUGUAAAUCCCAACCUUUCCACAUCGGGGCUGAAUGCAAUAAAGAUUAGUGGCGUUACAACUACUGCGACACCUCCAGCGCCCGUCAAGGGAAGAUUUUUGAAGGUUCGAUCAUUUACUUCACUGCAGUCAGUGCCAUCGGAAUGUAUUACGAUUCCUGACGAUCCACCUCCAUAUAAAAUUACAGAAGUGGACCCGCUGAGCUUCACGACUGAAGAAGAUCCGUUGGCUCUAUCUUCCGAAAUUGUCGCAAGACGUAAUAACUUUUGCCGUAGAUUAGGAUAGAUUUUCGUUCAGAUGGCUUGAUGGCUAUACGCUCAAAAAAUGCUAGUUGAAUCUUGAGAUAACUUCAGAUUUCGGUAAGCGUGAACUACUGGAACACGCUUGCCUUGUAGCCGGCCGAUGCCGGCGUCUCUUUCUACCUUUUCGACUGUUAAUUUACGACUUUCGGUUUCAUAUUUCAUCCAGAGUAGUAUUUAGUAAAUUCAUCGAGUGCUGGAGCCCUGCGACUUAUUUGUGUGCUUAUUUGCAUUUGAUCUUUGAUUCGUUUCCGCGUGCACAUAAUUAGGGCUGUGACGUGACAUCGGGGGUGACCCGUAAGUGAUGGGGCACUAAGAUAAUAUUUGUCUCAAACAAA